Molecule: ribosomal RNA, 2861 nt
Filed under: Triticum aestivum (bread wheat)
Lineage: Eukaryota; Viridiplantae; Streptophyta; Magnoliopsida; Poales; Poaceae
Description: partial small subunit ribosomal RNA
Source: RNAcentral
CAAGUUACACAUAAAAAUCUUCUUUUAGUUGUUGCCGUCGACGUGACCUCAUCGUCCUGAUGAUAACAACUAUCCGCUUUAGGACCGUGUGGACUAUCAACUUUGAAUGUGUACCGGACGCUGGUUGACGCGGCGGAGAUAUUCGAGGAGCCCUUACUAAACCAUCAUCGACCCUAGGGGAAUGUCGCCGUUUUAGGGCCGCGUGGGUCGGCGGCGAGUACUAGGGACGAGGAAGUCGAGCUGAAGCGGCCACAGCAGUCAGGUGUCCUCAUCCUCGCAGUACGGGCCGUUGUUUGUUCUUGUCUUCUAUGUACUGAAUACUCCGAUGGUCUCCGAUGAUGUGGAGGUCUAAUAACUGUCGGACGUUGAAUGAACGAAGGUUGUACUAUCAUUGUGUAAGAUUCCAAGCAUUAGCCGAUGAAGUCUUGCGACAACGAUAAGACACCCAUUUCCAGGAGUAAAACAACUACCACCGUAGAAUGUUUCUUUUCCAUUGGACGUAAAUGAAUAAUAAGAACAUGAAACGGGAAGUUUAUAUCUUCAUCCUAGUUACAGUUAUUCGUAAAAGUGUUGAAGAGAAUAACAGCCAGCGAGUCUUCGGCGAGCAUAUUAAGUUCGUUACCGUUUACAAUUCCUGGAAAUAAUAUUGAAAACUAGGUAUCAACGAUUGAAAAUCUAGUGUUUGGCGACAUCAUAAGGCCAGACUUGUAACCCUAGUUUGAGUAAAACUAGUACUGUACUAUUUUUUACCUUACCACCCUUCAUCGUCCAGGUCAAAGAUCAUUUACCCUAGCACCCUUCUACGUAUUAUCAGGAUAGGAUAUUAGACGUCAAAAGUCCUAUUUGCCCUAGUUUGCCGAAGAAGGGGUCUGGUACGUGCCGAAACACGGAUCCGUUUGGGGAAAAUAAGGAGGGUCCGUGUUGGUGUUGUAGGAAAAAUCAGGUUUAACUGGCGACUGACGCCAGGUUCAAGUCGUUUAUUAAAAAAUAAAGCCAGGUUGGACCAGCAGGGUUCGUUAAGUGGCAGCGUCGAUGAUCCGGCUAACGCAGCUCGGAGGACGGUGGCGGCCACCCCGAGGUAGCGGCAUGACGGGUAUGGCAAGUGGCGGUGGUGUGGCCUAGCAACUUGCUGUGUUGGGUUUCGUCAAGUUGCGGCGCCGAGCCCUCCGUGUGUGAAGCGGGGAGGUAGGGUCCUCUCGUCAUGUAGAGGAACACGUGCUCGUCAGGAAACGGCUACAUGUGACGACGAGAUUCGAGAAACCGGUGAAGAGGUUAUACAGGUCGUGGCAGGGUCAGGUCAGGGCACCGUAGGGCUACCAGCUCAAGUACGGCUCGUCGUCAGGUGCUGGCAGUCGAGGAUAAAGGUGAUAUCACCAACCCAACGGCAAAAGGAGUAGGAAGGGCCACGCGCUGUUGGGUCGGGUGUACGACGACGGCAAGCGGUGGGGUUUUAUCGAAGUAGAUACAUUUACGAUGAUUUAGUCACCAAACUAAAUCGUCGGAGGAAGUCAAGUUGGUGUACUUGAUUUCAUUAGUCUCUUCUUGUUAUAUGACUUCUUGUUACAUGACUCAAAAAACAAUUGGUCGCUUCUUUUUAUAUGACUUUAAUGUCCCCUAUUGUGUUACGUCACGAUCAGUGAUAGCAAUCAUGAAUUACACUCAGUUUUUUCUUCACAACCUGUUACCAAGCAACAAUUAAUCACUGGUCUUGAUCACAUGAAACCUAAUAAGAUCACGUUUACAUCGGAGUUUAAGGAUCAUACACACUUGUACGUGUGUAGACUGUCUUUUACCCAAGUACUCUUUUACUCCAAGAAUACUAGUACAAAUAACAAUUGAAUAAGUCUUCUUUACGAUAAUUCAAUAUAGUAAUCACUUUUGUGUCAAUUGAAUAGUUUUUUAUUGACAUAGUCAAGACUGAGCUCUCCCACAUUCACGUCUUCUUUUUUAACCAACCACAUUUCCCAGUAGCUAACUUUUCAAAUAUUCAAGUGGUGCUGCAGAGUCUAUUCAAGUACUUUUUCUCAUUUGUUUUUUCUUUGGGGUUUACCCUUAAGCUUACCAUUUUCAAAUUCAGUUUUUAAAGAUGAACCGGAUCUAUCGAGUAUAUAUGAAGUUAGAACAUUAAAUUUUCCAGUUCAGUGUUCAAGCCUCUACUAACAAACGUUGAUCAAACGAAACUACUAAGACAUUAACGUAGUCCGGUAAUGUCUUUUACCGAGAUCAUCAAGUAAUAAAUAAAGUUAAGUACUUUUGCUAUAUCACGCGGCGGGGCGGACGUUACAACCGAACGAUCGACGGUCACCAAGCACACGGGACCAGCGACGAUGAUAUCCCAUUCCACUCACUCUUUCUCUAAUGACUCUCCCUAAACUACGACGACAACAAGGUACAUAACUAUCUCCUAACAGCUUAGAUUUCGGUCGACGUGGAAGUGUAGGAUACGUGACAGUGUAUACUCAACCACGAGGACGUCAUCACAAGAUUAAUCGUUUUCUUGUUACUCUUCCCUUUCUUCUACCACCAAUUUAUAAUUCAUUGAUUCUUGACUAUCUUACUCCUAUUGUAUUUUGUUACACACUGACUUUCUUUGAUUUAUAAAACCACGCUUUUCAACAACGAAAAGAGACCACGACAUCAAGUUAAAUGAUGUUGGCAAGACGAACAUUAUCGUAGAAGACGUCCUUCAAGCUCUACCCUUGUGAACAAAGUUUACGAGAGGAGAGUAAGCGCUACGACGGUUGUUCCUUUUGGAGACCCUUCGAGACGACAUGUUUGUGUAGUCGUGUCACUCAUUCCUAUACCGUGGAACCCCUUAUUACGGAUGUUUCGUUCGGGCCCUACUGCUACGACUAGUGAUC